UCGUCACGAAAAAUCGCCAUGGAAACACUGAGCUCCUCUUCUGCCUUAUAUUCUCCAACCAGAAUCCUUCGAUUCCACACUUCUUCCAAAAGUGCGUUGCUUCACUGCCUUCUCUUUCACUCUAAUUUCUAUCCUUUAUUCUUCAUUUUUAUUUAGCAGUAUGAUUCAGGGAAUGAAAUUUUGAUCUUCGAACGAUUCUAGCAUCGUCCCCUUCUUCUGCAAUCCCACCCUGUCCAAGGUGAGUUUCAAAUUUCGUUUCGUUUUCUAUUUUGCUAUUUUGUAAUUCAAUUUCCAUUUCAAUUUGGUGGAUUGGUGUUCUCCUCGGGAUUUUCGGUAACAACGAGUAUCAGGACGCGGCCCUGGUUAUUGGUUCUGAGUGCUGCUUCUGUCAGAGGCUGGGCUACUGGUUCCGGCAGUUAAGAUUUCUACUCUUGUAAAUAAUAUGGAAUGAAGUAGAAAACAUAAAGG
Molecule: long non-coding RNA, 468 nt
Filed under: Manihot esculenta (cassava)
Lineage: Eukaryota; Viridiplantae; Streptophyta; Magnoliopsida; Malpighiales; Euphorbiaceae
Description: long non-coding RNA (MESC_LNC010537)
Source: RNAcentral